RNAcentral lists this ribosomal RNA (468 nucleotides) under uncultured bacterium. Its description in RNAcentral is "partial 16S ribosomal RNA". It matches the Rfam family "Bacterial small subunit ribosomal RNA", at positions 28 to 507 of the family's 1533-position model. The record is from RNAcentral.
GACGAACGCUGGCGGCGUGCUUAACACAUGCAAGUCGAACGGAAAGGCCCUGCUUUUGUGGGGUGCUCGAGUGGCGAACGGGUGAGUAACACGUGAGUAACCUGCCCUUGACUUUGGGAUAACUUCAGGAAACUGGGGCUAAUACCGGAUAGGAGCUCCUGCUGCAUGGUGGGGGUUGGAAAGUUUCGGCGGUUGGGGAUGGACUCGCGGCUUAUCAGCUUGUUGGUGGGGUAGUGGCUUACCAAGGCUUUGACGGGUAGCCGGCCUGAGAGGGUGACCGGCCCCAUUGGGACUGAGAUACGGCCCAGACUCCUACGGGAGGCAGCAGUGGGGAGUAUUGCACAAUGGGCGGAAGCCUGAUGCAGCAACGCCGCGUGCGGGAUGACGGCCUUCGGGUUGUAAACCGCUUUCGCCUGUGACGAAGCGUGAGUGACGGUAAUGGGUAAAGAAGCACCGGCUAACUACGUG